Schistosoma rodhaini is the source of this 45-nucleotide non-coding RNA. The record is from Rfam. NCBI's taxonomy places the organism in Eukaryota, Metazoa, Platyhelminthes, Trematoda, Strigeidida, Schistosomatidae.
AUCCAGCUGAUGAGUCCCAAUUAGGACGAAACACGGGUUCUGGAU